RNAcentral lists this small RNA (159 nucleotides) under Dasypus novemcinctus (nine-banded armadillo). RNAcentral describes it as "TUC338 (ENSDNOG00000033328.1)". The record is from RNAcentral. Lineage: Eukaryota; Metazoa; Chordata; Mammalia; Cingulata; Dasypodidae.
AAGAGUGAACCAGUCUGCAUGUUCUCAAAUGUCACAACACAGGCAUUGGGAGUAUAAACUUCUCCUUCCCUUGCCAGGGUGCUUUAACUUUAUCCUAGAAGGCUAACUUUGCAGGGAAAAAGAGGUCAGAUACCACUGCCAAAUCUGACCUUGGCUUCU